This 436-nucleotide long non-coding RNA is filed under the name Pan troglodytes (chimpanzee). Its description in RNAcentral is "long non-coding RNA NONPTRT013439". Lineage: Eukaryota; Metazoa; Chordata; Mammalia; Primates; Hominidae. The record is from RNAcentral.
GUGGGCCAGAGCCAGCCCCAGGAAGCCGUGAUUCAAGGGGACGAAUAGCCCCUGCCUCCGAGUGACAGAAGUCACCUCAGAGUCCCGCCCAUCAUCACAAGUAAGCUUAAGAUUGGAUGGUCUGAAAAUGACAGUCGUAUUCUGAUUUCCAGCCUGAGAAUAUCCUGGUGGAUGAGAGUUUAGCCAAGCCAACCAUCAAACUGGCUGACUUUGGAGAUGCUGUUCAGCUCAACACGACCUACUACAUCCACCAGUUACUGGGGAACCCUGAAUUCGCAGCCCCUGAAAUCAUCCUCGGGAACCCUGUCUCCCUGACCUCGGAUACGUGGAGUGUUGGAGUGCUCACAUACGUACUUCUUAGUGGCGUGUCCCCCUUCCUGGAUGACAGUGUGGAAGAGACCUGCCUGAACAUUUGCCGCUUAGACUUUAGCUUCCC